RNAcentral lists this small RNA (529 nucleotides) under Pongo abelii (Sumatran orangutan). Its description in RNAcentral is "processed transcript". Lineage: Eukaryota; Metazoa; Chordata; Mammalia; Primates; Hominidae. The record is from RNAcentral.
GCUGCGUGGUGUGCCAGGCACCCGAGACGCCCGAGUCCUACGUGUGCCGGACGCUGGACUGCGAGGCCGUGUACUGCUGGUCGUGCUGGGACGACAUGCGGCAGCGGUGCCCGGUCUGCACGCCCCGCGAGGAGCUCUCUUCCUCCGCCUUUAGUGACAGCAACGACGACACUGCCUACGCGGGGUAAAGAGGCGUCCUGCUCGCUCUUCCGCUCCGUCCUUCCCGCCCUGCUGUCGAUUCCCUCAGUACUGUCUUGGGGUGUCCUGGGACCUGCAGGUGGCACCGAGGAGCAGCAGGCAGAGUCAGAGAAGGCCCCGAGGGAGCCCUUGGAGCCCCAGGUCCUUCAGGACCUCAAAAAGGUGCUUCAGACCAGUCUGCCUGAGCCCCUGAGGAUCAAGUUGGAGCUGGACGGUGACAGUCAUAUCCUGGAGCUGCUACAGAAUAGAGAGUUGGUCCCAGGCCGUCCAACCCUGGUGUGGUACCAGCCCGAUGGCACUCGGGUGGUCAGUGAGGGACACACUCUGGUGA